RNAcentral lists this ribosomal RNA (301 nucleotides) under uncultured bacterium. RNAcentral describes it as "partial 16S ribosomal RNA". It matches the Rfam family "Bacterial small subunit ribosomal RNA", at positions 509 to 809 of the family's 1533-position model. The record is from RNAcentral.
CAGCCGCCGCGGGAAUACGGAGGGGGCUAGCGUUGUUCGGGAUUACUGGGCGUAAAGCGCACGUAGGCGGUUAUUCAAGUCAGAGGUGAAAGCCCGGGGCUCAACCCCGGAACUGCCUUUGAAACUAGAUGACUAGAAUCUUGGAGAGGCGAGUGGAAUUCCGAGUGUAGAGGUGAAAUUCGUAGAUAUUCGGAAGAACACCAGUGGCGAAGGCGACUCGCUGGACAGGUAUUGACGCUGAGGUGCGAAAGCGUGGGGAGCAAACAGGAUUAGAUACCCCUGUAGUCCCUGUCUCUUAUAA